GGAGCAACUAAUAAAGCUCUGUACCACUGUUGAAGAUGGUUUUAGCCUGGAGAAUUUUCCUGAGUAUGCUGCUUAUGUGGACCCUGCUGCCAAUGCAGAUGAUCUGACUCAGCCUCCUUCCUAUCCAAGUGGCCUACAGACUGUAAAAUCCUCUGAGGUGGAUACUGUCCUGUUGUCAGAUGACAAUUUUAUCCUUCCCCCUGGAAUUGAGGGUUACUCAACUGAUGGCGACCACUUGCCGCUGCCUCCUGGACGUAGAAAAGAAUUGGAUCG
Molecule: long non-coding RNA, 273 nt
Filed under: Sphaeramia orbicularis (orbiculate cardinalfish)
Lineage: Eukaryota; Metazoa; Chordata; Actinopteri; Kurtiformes; Apogonidae
Description: lncRNA (ENSSORG00005024954.1)
Source: RNAcentral